CUUCCGGGAGGCAGCAGUGGGGAAUUUUUGGACAAUGGGCGCAAGCCUGAUCCAGCCAUGCCGCGUGUGUGAAGAAGGCCUUAUGGUUGUAAAGCACUUUAAGCGAGGAGGAGGCUACUGAAGUUAAUACCUUCAGAUAGUGGACGUUACUCGCAGAAUAAGCACCGGCUAACUCUGUGCCAGCAGCCGCGGUAAUACAGAGGGUGCAAGCGUUAAUCGGAUUUACUGGGCGUAAAGCGCGCGUAGGCGGCUAAUUAAGUCAAAUGUGAAAUCCCCGAGCUUAACUUGGGAAUUGCAUUCGAUACUGGUUAGCUAGAGUGUGGGAGAGGAUGGUAGAAUUCCAGGUGUAGCGGUGAAAUGCGUAGAGAUCUGGAGGAAUACCGAUGGCGAAGGCAGCCAUCUGGCCUAACACUGACGCUGAGGUGCGAAAGCAUGCGGAGCAAACAGGAUUAGAUACCCUGGUAGUCCAUGCCGUAAACGAUGUCUACUAGCCGUUGGGGCCUUUGAGGCUUUAGUGGCGCAGCUAACGCGAUAAGUAGACCGCCUGGGGAGUACGGUCGCAAGACUAAAACUCAAAUGAAUUGACGGGGGCCCGCACAAGCGGUGGAGCAUGUGGUUUAAUUCGAUGCAACGCGAAGAACCUUACCUGGCCUUGACAUAGUAAGAACUUUCCAGAGAUGGAUUGGUGCCUUCGGGAACUUACAUACAGGUGCUGCAUGGCUGUCGUCAGCUCGUGUCGUGAGAUGUUGGGUUAAGUCCCGCAACGAGCGCAACCCUUUUCCUUAUUUGCCAGCGAGUAAUGUCGGGAACUUUAAGGAUACUGCCAGUGACAAACUGGAGGAAGGCGGGGACGACGUCAAGUCAUCAUGGCCCUUACGGCCAGGGCUACACACGUGCUACAAUGGUCGGUACAAAGGGUUGCUACCUAGCGAUAGGAUGCUAAUCUCAAAAAGCCGAUCGUAGUCCGGAUUGGAGUCUGCAACUCGACUCCAUGAAGUCGGAAUCGCUAGUAAUCGCGGAUCAGAAUGCCGCGGUGAAUACGUUCCCGGGCCUUGUACACACCGCCCGUCACACCAUGGGAGUUUGUUGCACCAGAAGUCAGGUAGUCUAACCGCAAGGAGGACGCUUACCCACGGU
Molecule: ribosomal RNA, 1137 nt
Filed under: Acinetobacter calcoaceticus
Lineage: Bacteria; Pseudomonadati; Pseudomonadota; Gammaproteobacteria; Moraxellales; Moraxellaceae
Description: bacterial SSU rRNA
Rfam family: Bacterial small subunit ribosomal RNA
Source: RNAcentral